AAGGACUGAGUCCUUCGUUCGGAGAAAUCCCCAUAGACGGCAAAGGAUGCAUAUGUGUAUCCUUCGCGCUCCCAUAUCACCCACAAUCCCUUGCGCGCGGCUUUGCCGGCUUGUUUAAAAAAAUUAAAUGGCGGACCUAAGCGGGAGUUGGAGCGGUAUCGCUGACGGCGAAAUAAUCAUUUAAAUGGACAAACUGAGGCUGUCACUGAGGAUGGGAAAGCAAAAGACAAGCAGGGAGACAAGAGGCCAAAGAGAGAUGAAUAGCUAGAUUAUUUGCUAAAGCCUUUUAGAGAUUGGCAUUCUGAAAAUAAAUGCAUUAAAUUAA
This is a long non-coding RNA of Perca fluviatilis (European perch), 325 nucleotides long. RefSeq lists it as uncharacterized. The transcript has 2 exons. NCBI's taxonomy places the organism in Eukaryota, Metazoa, Chordata, Actinopteri, Perciformes, Percidae. The record is from RefSeq and is a predicted model, not a curated record.